GACGAACGCUGGCGGCGUGCUUAACACAUGCCAGUCGAACGGAAAGGCCCCUUUGGGGGUACUCGAGUGGCGAGCGGGUGAGUAACACGUGAGUAACCUGCCCUUGACUUCGGGAUAACUUCAGGAAACUGGGGCUAAUACCGGAUAGGAAUCCUUGCUGCAUGGUGGGGGUUGGAAAGCUUCGGCGGUUUUGGAUGGACUCGCGGCUUAUCAGCUUGUUGGUGGGGUAGUGGCUUACCAAGGCUUUGACGGGUAGCCGGCCUGAGAGGGCGACCGGCCACAUUGGGACUGAGAUACGGCCCAGACUCCUACGGGAGGCAGCAGUGGGGAAUAUUGCACAAUGGGCGGAAGCCUGAUGCAGCAACGCCGCGUGCGGGAUGACGGCCUUCGGGUUGUAAACCGCUUUCAGCAGGGGCGAAGCUUGUGGUGACGGUACCUGCAGAAGAAGCACCGGCUAACUACGUG
RNAcentral lists this ribosomal RNA (465 nucleotides) under uncultured bacterium. RNAcentral's name for it is "partial 16S ribosomal RNA". It matches the Rfam family "Bacterial small subunit ribosomal RNA", at positions 28 to 507 of the family's 1533-position model. The record is from RNAcentral.